UGAGGAAUAUUGGUCAAUGGGCGAGAGCCUGAACCAGCCAAGUAGCGUGCAGGAUGACGGCCCUAUGGGUUGUAAACUGCUUUUAUGUGGGGAUAAAGUGCGUGACGUGUCAUGCAUUGCAGGUACCACAUGAAUAAGGACCGGCUAAUUCCGUGCCAGCAGCCGCGGUAAUACGGAAGGUCCGGGCGUUAUCCGGAUUUAUUGGGUUUAAAGGGAGCGUAGGCUGUCUAUUAAGCGUGUUGUGAAAUUUACCGGCUCAACCGGUGGCUUGCAGCGCGAACUGGUCGACUUGGGUAUGCAGGAAGUAGGCGGAAUUCAUGGUGUAGCGGUGAAAUGCUUAGAUAUCAUGACGAACUCCGAUUGCGCAGGCAGCUUACUGUAGCAUAACUGACACUGAUGCUCGAAAGUGCGGGUAUCAAACAGG
RNAcentral lists this ribosomal RNA (424 nucleotides) under Fusobacteriota bacterium. Its description in RNAcentral is "Fusobacteria bacterium partial 16S ribosomal RNA". It matches the Rfam family "Bacterial small subunit ribosomal RNA", at positions 355 to 776 of the family's 1533-position model. The record is from RNAcentral. Lineage: Bacteria; Fusobacteriati; Fusobacteriota.